This 71-nucleotide small RNA is filed under the name Goniomonas pacifica. Its description in RNAcentral is "partial Cyanobacteria transfer-messenger RNA". The record is from RNAcentral. Lineage: Eukaryota; Cryptophyceae; Goniomonadida; Goniomonadaceae.
UUGUACAGCUGGGUCCGAAGGUGUUGCAACCCCCGCUACCGUCCAGCGGGUCAACACACCUUUCCCCCUCU